This 1090-nucleotide long non-coding RNA is filed under the name Homo sapiens (human). Its description in RNAcentral is "long non-coding RNA NONHSAT200263.1". The record is from RNAcentral. Lineage: Eukaryota; Metazoa; Chordata; Mammalia; Primates; Hominidae.
UGUUUCAUGGGAGAAGCGCUAAACUUUACCUCAACAUUUAUGUAAAGUUAAAGCUGCACAGAAUAAACCAAGAUUCUGAGUCUUGAAAGUUUAUUUCAAAGAAAAGACAAUGCCUGUGCCACAUAUUUGACUUGGCAUGUGAGCAAGGACAAUUCCAACAUGGCCCUGAAAAGUUUUAAUUUGCAGUAGAAAGAAUAAGAACAAGAAGAGGGGAGGAAAGGAGGUGUCAGAAGGCAAAAAGAAGAGUACUUUGAGGCUCUUUGGAGACCUAGAGUAAAAAAUACUGCCAUUAAAUGGAGCCACCAUGAGUUUUAUAAAUAUUACGAAGCUCCAGGAAAUAUGAGCAGGAUCUCAAAUAUAUUCAACAAGCUUCCAAUUUUUGUCUUUUGAGAUGGUUGCUCUUGGAACACAGAAAUAUGCUUUAAGAUGUCAAGCCUCCUCUGCUGAUGCUGUAUGGAGAACAGACAAGCUUUCCCAUCAAGCCCUAACCAAACUGCAGAACUGUGAAUAAAAUCAAUAAUUGUUAUGAAAAGGCGGAGACACACGUUGAAGUAUUUUGCGGUGAAAUGUUAUGAUGUCUGCAAGGAACUCUCAAAUGGUUGAAGAAAAAUGUGUAUGUCAGAUAAAGAGGGAAGAGAGAAAGGGAGGAAGUACUGAACAUUUGAAGAGAGGAAGAGAUGAUAUGAAAUACUUAUAUACACUAAGUUGACUUGGAGAACUGGAGGCCAGCCAUUUGAGAAUAGUACCAACAAGAAGGAAAAAUAAAUUAUGACUGAAAAACCAAAUGGGAGCUUUUCUCAGGGAAAUGCAUGUUGCCAUAUGAGAUGAAAAAUAGAGAAAAUUCAAAAGAACAAUGGGCUGAGAAAACAUUAUUUUUUCCUGUCCCUCAUUGCUUCUGGAUGACUCUCAACGCUGAGAAGUAUAUACACUUGACCCACAGGUUUGAAAUGCUCUGCCACCCCCAAGACUGCAAGACCAACCCCUCCACUUCCUCCUCAUCCUUAACUUACCUAAAAUGAAGAUGAUGAGAAUGUACACCUUGAUGAUGAGCCAUUUCCACCUAAUAAAUAGUAAAUAUAUUUUCUCUUCC